UACGGAGGGUGCAAGCGUUAAUCGGAAUUACUGGGCGUAAAGCGCACGCAGGCGGUUUGUUAAGACAGAUGUGAAAUCCCCGGGCUCAACCUGGGAACUGCAUUUGUGACUGCAAGGCUAGAAUCUGGCAGAGGGGGGUAGAAUUCCACGUGUAGCAGUGAAAUGCGUAGAUAUGUGGAGGAAUACCGAUGGCGAAGGCAGCCCCCUGGGCUAAGAUUGACGCUCAUGCACGAAAGCGUGGGGAGCAAACAGG
RNAcentral lists this ribosomal RNA (253 nucleotides) under uncultured bacterium. Its description in RNAcentral is "partial 16S ribosomal RNA". It matches the Rfam family "Bacterial small subunit ribosomal RNA", at positions 524 to 776 of the family's 1533-position model. The record is from RNAcentral.